UACGAAGGGGGCUAGCGUUGCUCGGAAUCACUGGGCGUAAAGGUCGCACGUGAGGCGGGCUUCUUAAGUCAGGGGUGAAAUCCUGGAGCUCAACUCCAGAACUGCCUUUGAUACUGAGGAUCUUGAGUUCGGGAGAGGUGAGUGGAACUGCGAGUGUAGAGGUGAAAUUCGUAGAUAUUCGCAAGAACACCAGUGGCGAAGGCGGCUCACUGGCCCGAUACUGACGCUGAGGCACGAAAGCGUGGGGAGCAAACAGG
RNAcentral lists this ribosomal RNA (257 nucleotides) under uncultured bacterium. RNAcentral describes it as "partial 16S ribosomal RNA". It matches the Rfam family "Bacterial small subunit ribosomal RNA", at positions 524 to 776 of the family's 1533-position model. The record is from RNAcentral.